Molecule: ribosomal RNA, 253 nt
Filed under: uncultured bacterium
Lineage: Bacteria
Description: partial 16S ribosomal RNA
Rfam family: Bacterial small subunit ribosomal RNA
Source: RNAcentral
UACGUAGGGUGCAAGCGUUGUCCGGAAUUAUUGGGCGUAAAGAGCUCGUAGGCGGUUUGUCGCGUCGGCUGUGAAAGCCCAGGGCUUAACCCUGGGUCUGCGGUGGGUACGGGCAGACUAGAGUGUGGUAGGGGAGACUGGAAUUCCUGGUGUAGCGGUGAAAUGCGCAGAUAUCAGGAGGAACACCGAUGGCGAAGGCAGGUCUCUGGGCCACUACUGACGCUGAGAAGCGAAAGCAUGGGGAGCAAACAGG